AUUGAACGCUGGCGGUAUGCUUUACACAUGCAAGUCGAACGGUAACAGGUCUUCGGAUGCUGACGAGUGGCGAACGGGUGAGUAAUGUAUCGGAACGUGCCUAGUAAUGGGGGAUAACCACUCGAAAGAGUGACUAAUACCGCAUAAUAUCUCAGGAUGAAAGCGGGGGAUCGCAAGACCUCGCGUUAUUAGAGCGGCCGAUAUCAGAUUAGGUAGUUGGUGGGAUAAAAGCCUACCAAGCCAACGAUCUGUAGCUGGUCUGAGAGGACGACCAGCCACACUGGGACUGAGACACGGCCCAGACUCCUACGGGAGGCAGCAGUGGGGAAUUUUGGACAAUGGGCGAAAGCCUGAUCCAGCAAUACCGCGUGCAGGACGAAGGCCUUCGGUUGUAAACUGCUUUGUACGGAACGAAACGGUUCAGAUUAAUACUCUGAACUAAUGACGGUACCGUAAGAAUAAGCACCGGCUAACUACGUGCCAGCAGCCGCGGUAAACUGU
Molecule: ribosomal RNA, 501 nt
Filed under: uncultured bacterium
Lineage: Bacteria
Description: bacterial SSU rRNA
Rfam family: Bacterial small subunit ribosomal RNA
Source: RNAcentral